This 928-nucleotide ribosomal RNA is filed under the name Passalurus ambiguus. RNAcentral's name for it is "large subunit ribosomal RNA". The record is from RNAcentral. Lineage: Eukaryota; Metazoa; Nematoda; Chromadorea; Rhabditida; Oxyuridae.
UUUUUUUUUUUAGUAUUUUGUUAGGUAUUGCAUAUCAUUGAAGGAUAAUUUUUUGCUUUUUGUUAUUAAUAGAAUGCGUUUGGUGAUUUCUUUUUUGUUCUAUUGUUAAUAUAAGUUAGAUAUGAUUGGAAUUGGUAUUGAUAAGUCGUAAAUGCGGUUAUCUGUUUUUUUUUGUUUGACUGGAAAUUUGUCUUUUUUUUAUUGUAUGUGAGAGUUGGGGAUUAGAAGUUUCUUGUUUUGUUGUGUAGUAACUUUUUUUGUUGUAAUUGUUGUUUUAAGAUUUUUGUCUUAUUUAUCUAUAAAUGAGUGGAGAAUUUUUGAUUUUUUAGGUGCAAGGGAAAUUUGUGUAAAGUGGUUGUUGAAUUUUUUUUGUGAACUGUUAAUAGGAUCAAAUGUUUUUUAAAGACUUAGGGUUUUUAUUAAAGUUGUCUUCUGCUCAAUGAUUUAUUUAAAUGGCGGCCUUAGCGUGAGGGUAUUAAGGUAGCAAAAUAAGUUGUGUUUUUAAUGGAUUCUAGUAUGAAUGGAGUUAUUGGUUUUUGUUUUGUAUUUUUUUUUUCUGAAUUAGAUUUUUUUCUAAGAAUUGUUGGGUUUAUUUAUACUAAGAUAAGUCUUCGGAAAUUUUUUUGUAGGUUGUUUGGGGUAAAUUUUUUGUAUUUUUUGUUCCUAGGGUUAUUUAUAUAAAUUACUUCGGAGUUAACAGAAUGUUAUUUCUGAUAUAGUUGUUAUAUUAGGAAGAAUAUUACAUCGUUGUUGUAUUUUUGUUAUUAAGGGGGUAGGUUAUCUUAUAUUUGAGACUGUUCUUCUUUUAGUAAAUGGAACGUGAUAUUAGUUUAAUUCAUUGUGAGAUAGAAUUGUUUAUCUAGUUAAUUAAUUUGUUUUUUGUUUUACUAGUACGAAAGGAUUGUUAAUAGUGUUUGAAAUGUUUUUG